This 433-nucleotide ribosomal RNA is filed under the name uncultured bacterium. Its description in RNAcentral is "partial 16S ribosomal RNA". It matches the Rfam family "Bacterial small subunit ribosomal RNA", at positions 29 to 507 of the family's 1533-position model. The record is from RNAcentral.
AACGAACGCUGGCGGCAUGCCUAACACAUGCAAGUCGAACGAGACCUUCGGGUCUAGUGGCGCACGGGUGCGUAACGCGUGGGAACCUGCCCUUAGGUUCGGAAUAACUCCCCGAAAGGGGUGCUAAUACCGGAUAAUGUCUUCGGACCAAAGAUUUAUCGCCUUUGGAUGGGCCCGCGUUGGAUUAGCUAGUUGGUAGGGUAAAAGCCUACCAAGGCGACGAUCCAUAGCUGGUCUGAGAGGAUGAUCAGCCACACUGGGACUGAGACACGGCCCAGACUCCUACGGGAGGCAGCAGUAGGGAAUAUUGGACAAUGGGCGAAAGCCUGAUCCAGCAAUGCCGCGUGAGUGAUGAAGGCCUUAGGGUUGUAAAGCUCUUUUACCCGGGAUGAUAAUGACAGUACCGGGAGAAUAAGCACCGGCUAACUCCGUG